This 88-nucleotide transfer RNA is filed under the name Candidatus Latescibacterota bacterium. RNAcentral's name for it is "tRNA-Ser". It matches the Rfam family "tRNA". Rfam says of the family: Transfer RNA (tRNA) molecules are approximately 80 nucleotides in length. Their secondary structure includes four short double-helical elements and three loops (D, anti-codon, and T loops). Further hydrogen bonds mediate the characteristic L-shaped molecular structure. tRNAs have two regions of fundamental functional importance: the anti-codon, which is responsible for specific mRNA codon recognition, and the 3' end, to which the tRNAs corresponding amino acid is attached (by aminoacyl-tRNA synthetases). tRNAs cope with the degeneracy of the genetic code in two manners: having more than one tRNA (with a specific anti-codon) for a particular amino acid; and 'wobble' base-pairing, i.e. permitting non-standard base-pairing at the 3rd anti-codon position. The record is from RNAcentral. Lineage: Bacteria; Pseudomonadati; Candidatus Latescibacterota.
GGUGGGGUGUCCGAGUGGUCGAAGGAGACGGUCUUGAAAACCGUUGACCCUCACGGGUCCGUGGGUUCGAAUCCCACCCCCACCGCCA